RNAcentral lists this ribosomal RNA (433 nucleotides) under uncultured bacterium. Its description in RNAcentral is "partial 16S ribosomal RNA". It matches the Rfam family "Bacterial small subunit ribosomal RNA", at positions 29 to 507 of the family's 1533-position model. The record is from RNAcentral.
AACGAACGCUGGCGGCAUGCCUAACACAUGCAAGUCGAACGAGACCUUCGGGUCUAGUGGCGCACGGGUGCGUAACGCGUGGGAACCUGCCCUUAGGUUCGGAAUAACUCCCCGAAAGGGGUGCUAAUACCGGAUAAUGUCUUCGGACCAAGGAUUUAUCGCCUUUGGAUGGGCUCGCGUUGGAUUAGCUAGUUGGUAGGGUAAAAGCCUACCAAGGCGACGAUCCAUAGCUGGUCUGAGAGGAGGAUCAGCCACACUGGGACUGAGACACGGCCCAGAAUCGUACGGGAGGCAGGAGAGGGGAAUGAUGCACAAUGGGCGAAAGCCUGAUCCAGCAAGGACGCGUGAGUGAUGAAGGCCUUAGGGUUGUAAAGCUCUUUUACCUGGGAAGAUAAUGACGGUACCGGGAGAAUAAGCGCCGGCUAACUCCGUG